This 328-nucleotide ribosomal RNA is filed under the name uncultured eukaryote. RNAcentral describes it as "partial 18S ribosomal RNA". It matches the Rfam family "Eukaryotic small subunit ribosomal RNA", at positions 1470 to 1796 of the family's 1831-position model. The record is from RNAcentral.
CCCUUAGAUGUCCUGGGCCGCACGCGCGUUACACUGAUGCAUUCAACGAGCUUAUAACCUUGGCCGAGAGGCCUGGGCAAUCUUGUUAACGUGCAUCGUGAUAGGGAUAGAUUAUUGAAAUUAUUAAUCUUGAACGAGGAAUUCCCAGUAAACGCAGAUCAUCAAUCUGCAUUGAUUACGUCCCUGCCCUUUGUACACACCGCCCGUCGCGCCUACCGAUUGGAUGGUCCGGUGAAGCCUCGGGAUUGUGGUUCUUGCCGCUUUAUUGUGGCGUGACCGCGAGAACUUGUCUAAACCUUAUCAUCUAGAGGAAGGUGAAGUCGUAACA